RNAcentral lists this unclassified non-coding RNA (551 nucleotides) under Hevea brasiliensis (rubber tree). Lineage: Eukaryota; Viridiplantae; Streptophyta; Magnoliopsida; Malpighiales; Euphorbiaceae. The record is from RNAcentral.
AUCUUUUCUCAGGAAUCUCUUCCCCUUCAAAUUUCAUCUUGAAUCUCAUGCCAACUGAAUACCGAUGCUUAACAGCCUCGAGAUAUUUGUUUAGACCUAUGAUAAACUGACUUGUUCUCGGUUUGUAAUAAACGACAAACAUAGUCUGGGUCGUCACAGCAUGAGAUGCAGUAGCUAACACUCCUAGGUGCAUGCUCUGACUUGAAAUCACUGAUUGUGGCAUUGAGCUCGGUUGGCGAGCAAGUCGUCUAAUUCCUAUUCGGACUUCACCUUUUCCACUCCUCAAGAAUACAAAAGAAUCCCCCGUAACUAAUCUCUUCGAGGAAACAAAGGUACUCCACCCUGUGGUAAGUAAAUGCCUCCUGGGUUGGCCUCUAAAUAUAUGUUUAAAAUGCCACUCGAAGCCAUGAAGGUCCUUGGCGACCAAUUCCUGUGCUGGAGUCGCUUGGGUCAUGUCCAGGGGAGGCAGGCAUUCGUUAGCAUGUUUUCUGAGAAUGGAAAAUCCACCGUGAGUGCUCGUAUCAGACGCAGUUAGAACCUUGCAGAAGAAA